UCAGAAUUCAGAGGCUACAUUUGUGUGAGAUCAGGCACAGACCUGGCAUCCUUUACACCCAGCCACGCCGAGUAAUCAAUCUAAUUGCUGGUUAUGCCACCAUCUAGACCGUGCCAAUGAACCUGAACUCAUUUGUGUUUCUGUCAAUGUGAGUGCCUGGUGGAACCAGUCUGGAAGAUGGAUGUAUGACGAGAUGUGGUGUCCACAACCAGAGAAGGAACAGCAUGCUGCCUCUCCUGUCGAUCGACAACGUGUACAACCUGGAGAUGAGACGUGCCGGGGAUGAGGGAGGGAAGGAGGAAGGAAGGAGGAGAGGCACAGCAAACUCUAGGCUGGGAGGCCGUGGGUUCCAGCCUGACCCUAUCUGUAAAUAACUCUGGCCCUUCUCUAUUGUGUGUGGCAAUAAAGUAUACAAGUUGUCCCCACCUAGAUCGUCAGGA
Long non-coding RNA from Otolemur garnettii (small-eared galago), 440 nucleotides. RefSeq lists it as uncharacterized. The transcript has 3 exons. The record is from RefSeq and is a predicted model, not a curated record. Lineage: Eukaryota; Metazoa; Chordata; Mammalia; Primates; Galagidae.